GACGAACGCUGGCGGCGUGCUUAACACAUGCAAGUCGAACGGAAAGGCCCUGCUUUUGUGGGUGUCCGGGUGGCGAAAGGGGGAAGUAAAAGGUGAGCAACUGACCCUGAUUUUUGGUUGACUUUAAGGAACUGGGGCUUAAUCCCGUACGGGAUCCCCCCUUCCGGGGUGGGGGUGGGAACUUUGGGGCGGUGGGGGAUGGACGCGCGGCUUUCGGGUUUGUUGGUGGGGUGGGGGCUUACCAAGCCUUUGGCGGGUGCCCGGCCUGGGAGGGUGAACGGCCACAUUGGGACUGAGAUACGGCCCAGACUCCUACGGGAGGCAGCAGUGGGGAAUAUUGCACAAUGGGCGGAAGCCUGAUGCAGCAACGCCGCGUGCGGGAUGACGGCCUUCGGGUUGUAAACCGCUUUCGCCUGUGACGAAGCGUGAGUGACGGUAAUGGGUAAAGAAGCACCGGCUAACUACGUG
Molecule: ribosomal RNA, 468 nt
Filed under: uncultured bacterium
Lineage: Bacteria
Description: partial 16S ribosomal RNA
Rfam family: Bacterial small subunit ribosomal RNA
Source: RNAcentral